Non-coding RNA from Paramuricea clavata, 325 nucleotides. Lineage: Eukaryota; Metazoa; Cnidaria; Anthozoa; Malacalcyonacea; Plexauridae. The record is from the annotation of a GenBank genome assembly.
AUCGCUUUAGUUUUACGCGACCCCCCGCUCCGUCCGUAAUUAAGAAAUCGAUUUCAUUCAUAUAAAAUUAAAUGAUGGCUAAAGUUGGGGCAAGAUUGUUUCCCAUGGCCAAACCCGAAUUUUGCUUAUAGGCGUUGCCUCCAAUUAAAACGUUAUCGCUUGUUAGACAUAAACGGAUAAGUUUAUCAAAAUCUUCAUCACUUAAACAGGAUAGUUCACAAUCACCUUUGUAUUGACUGAAGAAACGUUUGGCCACCGUAAAUACGCUGGGUGUUCUAUUAUUGAUGUCUUUAAGAGGUAUAGAACCGUAGCUCGUAGCUAAUUG